Molecule: long non-coding RNA, 1579 nt
Organism: Oryctolagus cuniculus (rabbit)
Lineage: Eukaryota; Metazoa; Chordata; Mammalia; Lagomorpha; Leporidae
Source: Ensembl
UUGUGUGUGUGCGCGCGGGCAGUGGGGGCGUCGUGUCCCUGCGCCGGGGGGAUGUGUGUCCCAGGCAGGCCCCGUGUCCCCGUGGGCUCAGCUUGAGUGUGUGCUGAGCCACCACCGUCGCAGGCCCACUGGCCUGUUGGAAGGACUUGCAAGGCCUGGGGCUCCCGGGGCCCUUCGAGGGCCCCGCUGUAAGGGGCACGGGAGGCGCCCACAGGGUGCUAGGAGGGCCCCUGGCUUGCUUUGACACUUUGACACUUUGGCCCUGAAGUCCCCCUCCGCUUCCUUCCCCUGCCCUCUGCCCUCAGAGACUCUGUGUCCCCUCUCCUGAGCGCCCAGCUGGCUGUCUAGGGAGGACUGAGGUUCUGGCUUGCUCUGGGGUCUGCCGCCCACUUCCAGCACUGUGACUGAGGUCGGGCAGCCCCGGAGCUCUGUCCCCUCUCCAGGCCCAGCCCCGGGCAGCUCUGUCCCCUCUCCAGGCCCAGCCCCGGGCAGCUCUGUCCCCUCUCCUGGGAGCUCUGUGCCCUCUCCAGGCCCAGCCCCGGGCAGCUCUGUCCCCUCUCCUGGGAGCUCUGUGCCCUCUCCAGGCCCAGCCCCGGGCAGCUCUGUCCCCUCUCCUGGGAGCUCUGUCUCCUCUCCUGAGUGCCCAGCCCCGGGCAGCUCUGUCCCCUCUCCUGGGAGCUCUGUGCCCUCUGCAGGCCCAGCCCCGGGCAGCUCCGUCCCCUCUGCAGGCCCAGCCCCGGCAGCUCUGUCCUCUCUCCCAGGAGCUCCGUCCCCUCUCCAGGCCCAGCCCCGGGCAGCUCCGUCCCCUCUCCAGGCCCAGCCCGACUUGGUCACAGCUUUGGGACAGCCUCAGGGCUCUCCUUGGGCUGCCAGCCUUGCUGUUCCAGUGAGGGGUGCAGCCUGGCUGGGAAGUGGGGUGGGGGUGGAGGAACACUCUCCUCCCUCCAAGCAGGGGCGGCUGGGCGAGCCCACCAGGAAAAUGGAAAAAUCCAGCGGCAGCUUCGGAUGGGGGAUUUCUCAGGCUGUUGUAGACCGUAAACGUCCUAUGGGCCUACGGACUGGCAGUGGUGUUUGGAAAAUAAAGAAUUCAAACUGCCAGGCCUUCCUCUGUGCCUUACAAAUGGGCUUUAGAAACACUGCAGGAAGGCGCCCUGGUCGAGUCCCUGUCUCCCUGGGGCCUGGCCUUCCUGCCGUGGGCGCUGGGGCUGAUGGGGCCCCUCAGGGAGGGGUGAGUGGGAGGCUGCUCCCCGGAGCUCCCGUAGAGCGCCCGUGUGCCGCCUUCCCAGAGAGGAUCCGCAGCUCGGGCUGGGACAGGGGGGCGACAGCAGGGCAGCUUCCUCAGAGCCCCCUCCUCCUGCCCCUGCCACCUGCCGUGCACACAGGCUUCGCCAGAGCUGCUCCGGCUGCAAGGGCGGUGCACACAGACUCCCCCCCCCCCCCCCCAAGAACCAGACCAGGCGUGCACCGCAAGCCGCGCUUGUGUCUGCUCCACUUGGUUGGACGUUUCUUUCAGCGCCCGAAUCCAUAUCUUGGACGGGCAACUUUGUUUUUCCAGUGGUCAGGACUGGUUGUUUGUUAA